AUAUUAAUAAGCGGAGGAAAAGAAACUAACAAGGAUUCCCCUAGUAAUUGCGAGUGAAGCGGGAAAAGCUCAAAUUUAAAAUCUGACAGUUUCACUGUCCGAGUUGUAAUCUGGAGAAGCAUUUUCCGUGUCGGACCGUGUACAAGUCUCUUGGAAUAGAGCGUCAUAGAGGGUGAGAAUCCCGUCCAUGACACGGACUACCGAUGCUUUGUGAUAUGCUCUCGAAGAGUCGAGUUGUUUGGGAAUGCAGCUCAAAAUGGGUGGUAAAUUCCAUCUAAAGCUAAAUAUUGGUGAGAGACCGAUAGCGCACAAGUA
RNAcentral lists this ribosomal RNA (315 nucleotides) under uncultured Polyporales. Its description in RNAcentral is "partial large subunit ribosomal RNA". It matches the Rfam family "Eukaryotic large subunit ribosomal RNA", at positions 40 to 350 of the family's 3401-position model. Lineage: Eukaryota; Fungi; Basidiomycota; Agaricomycetes; Polyporales. The record is from RNAcentral.